CCAGGAAAAGAGGAGGGGGCGCCAACUAUUGAUGUCCACAAGGAGUCCUCAAGCCACAAGGAGAUGGGGCAUGCACCCCUCUCCUUCUCUCCCUAGUCCAUGCCCAAAUCAGAUUUGAGAGAGGCAUAGACCCUCUAAUUCAACCACAUAAGGUGCACCCAAUUUAAUCAAAUCAAAUAGUGCAACAAAAGCUUGAUCCAAAGC
RNAcentral lists this long non-coding RNA (204 nucleotides) under Elaeis guineensis (African oil palm). RNAcentral's name for it is "long non-coding RNA (EGUI_LNC074323)". The record is from RNAcentral. Lineage: Eukaryota; Viridiplantae; Streptophyta; Magnoliopsida; Arecales; Arecaceae.